This 377-nucleotide unclassified non-coding RNA is filed under the name uncultured Parachlamydiaceae bacterium. Its description in RNAcentral is "contains 16S-23S intergenic spacer region". Lineage: Bacteria; Pseudomonadati; Chlamydiota; Chlamydiia; Parachlamydiales; Parachlamydiaceae. The record is from RNAcentral.
UCCUGGUUAACCCAGGCAGUCUCAUUAGAGUUCCCACCUUAUAUGUUGGCAACUAAUGAUAAGGGUUGCGCUCGUUGCUGGACUUAACCAAACACCUCACGGCACGAGCUGACGACAGCCAUGCAGCACCUGUGCACCAGCCCCGAAGGGAAACGCCGUUUCUGGCGUCGUCUAGUGCAUGUCAAGCCUGGGUAAGGUUCUUCGCGUUGCAUCGAAUUAAACCACAUGCUCCACUGCUUGUGCGGGUCCCCGUCAAUUCUUUUGAGUUUCAGCCUUGCGACUGUACUUCCCAGGCGGUAUACUUAUCGCGUUAGCUACGGCACAAUCGGGGUUGAGUCCGAUUACACCAAGUAUACAUCGUUUACGGCAAGGACUAC